GAUGAACGCUGGCGGCGUGCCUAAUACAUGCAAGUCGAGCGAACAGACGAGAAGCUUGCUUCUCUGAUGUUAGCGGCGGACGGGUGAGUAACACGUGGAUAACCUACCUAUAAGACUGGGAUAACUUCGGGAAACCGGAGCUAAUACCGGAUAAUAUUUUGAACCGCAUGGUUCAAAAGUGAAAGACGGUCUUGCUGUCACUUAUAGAUGGAUCCGCGCUGCAUUAGCUAGUUGGUAAGGUAACGGCUUACCAAGGCAACGAUGCAUAGCCGACCUGAGAGGGUGAUCGGCCACACUGGAACUGAGACACGGUCCAGACUCCUACGGGAGGCAGCAGUAGGGAAUCUUCCGCAAUGGGCGAAAGCCUGACGGAGCAACGCCGCGUGAGUGAUGAAGGUCUUCGGAUCGUAAAACUCUGUUAUUAGGGAAGAACAUAUGUGUAAGUAACUGUGCACAUCUUGACGGUACCUAAUCAGAAAGCCACGGUUAACUACGUGCCAGCAGCCGCGGUAAUACGUAGGUGGCAAGCGUUAUCCGGAAUUAUUGGGCGUAAAGCGCGCGUAGGCGGUUUUUUAAGUCUGAUGUGAAAGCCCACGGCUCAACCGUGGAGGGUCAUUGGAAACUGGAAAACUUGAGUGCAGAAGAGGAAAGUGGAAUUCCAUGCGUAGCGGUGAAAUGCGCAGAGAUAUGGAGGAACACCAGUGGCGAAGGCGCCUUUCUGGUCUGUAACUGACGCUGAUGUGCGAAAGCGUGGGGAUCAAACAGGAUUAGAUACCCUGGUAGUCCACGCCGUAAACGAUGAGUGCUAAGUGUUAGGGGGUUUCCGCCCCUUAGUGCUGCAGCUAACGCAUUAAGCACUCCGCCUGGGGAGUACGACCGCAAGGUUGAAACUCAAAGGAAUUGACGGGGACCCGCACAAGCGGUGGAGCAUGUGGUUUAAUUCGAAGCAACGCGAAGAACCUUACCAAAUCUUGACAUCCUUUGACAACUCUAGAGAUAGAGCUUUCCCCUUCGGGGGACAAAGUGACAGGUGGUGCAUGGUUGUCGUCAGCUCGUGUCGUGAGAUGUUGGGUUAAGUCCCGCAACGAGCGCAACCCUUAAGCUUAGUUGCCAUCAUUAAGUUGGGCACUCUAAGUUGACUGCCGGUGACAAACCGGAGGAAGGUGGGGAUGACGUCAAAUCAUCAUGCCCCUUAUGAUUUGGGCUACACACGUGCUACAAUGGACAAUACAAAGGGCAGCGAAACCGCGAGGUCAAGCAAAUCCCAUAAAGUUGUUCUCAGUUCGGAUUGUAGUCUGCAACUCGACUACAUGAAGCUGGAAUCGCUAGUAAUCGUAGAUCAGCAUGCUACGGUGAAUACGUUCCCGGGUCU
Molecule: ribosomal RNA, 1372 nt
Filed under: uncultured bacterium
Lineage: Bacteria
Description: bacterial SSU rRNA
Rfam family: Bacterial small subunit ribosomal RNA
Source: RNAcentral